UGAGAUGAUACUUCUUGCUGUGGUACAUGGGCACACCACCAGGGAAGGUGGUGUGGUCCGUGUCCACGUAAGAAACUACUCUGAACAUCAAAGAGAUGUAGCUUCUACUUCUGGGUCUGCCAUUGGCUCACUGGAUGAUUUUAGGGUAGGAUGGAAGCAGGCAGGGCAGAAAAAUGAAAACUCACAUUGUCUCAGACUUCCAGCUGAGGAAGACUUAAGAAUCUUCUGGGGGUUUUUUGCACACCUAUAGAACUGAACUUGGCAGAGCAGCUUGAAGUUGAACUAAAUGUUACUCCCACGUCAAAGCACUAUUGGGAAUAAACCUUAGUCUGGGUGGUUAGUUUGCCAAUUACAAACCACAACA
Falco peregrinus (peregrine falcon) is the source of this 364-nucleotide long non-coding RNA. RefSeq lists it as uncharacterized. The transcript is spliced from 2 exons. The record is from RefSeq and is a predicted model, not a curated record. NCBI's taxonomy places the organism in Eukaryota, Metazoa, Chordata, Aves, Falconiformes, Falconidae.